AUUCCAGACUCCUACGGGAGGCAGCAGUGGGGAAUAUUGCACAAUGGGGGAAACCCUGAUGCAGCGACGCCGCGUGAGUGAAGAAGUAUUUCGGUCUGUAAAGCUCUAUCAGCAGGGAAGAAAAUGACGGUACCUGACUAAGAAGCCCCGGCUAACUACGUGCCAGCAGCCGCGGUAAUACGUAGGGGGCAAGCGUUAUCCGGAUUUACUGGGUGUAAAGGGAGCGUAGACGGCCAGACAAGUCAGAAGUGAAGGCCCAGGGCUCAACGCUGGGACUGCUUUUGAAACUGCCGGGCUGGAGUGCAGGAGAGGUAAGCGGAAUUCCUAGUGUAGCGGUGAAAUGCGUAGAUAUUAGGAGGAACACCAGUGGCGAAGGCGGCUUACUGGACUGUAACUGACGUUGAGGCUCGAAAGCGUGGGGAGCAAACAGGAUUAGAUACCCGCGUACU
This 449-nucleotide ribosomal RNA is filed under the name uncultured bacterium. Its description in RNAcentral is "bacterial SSU rRNA". It matches the Rfam family "Bacterial small subunit ribosomal RNA", at positions 328 to 794 of the family's 1533-position model. The record is from RNAcentral.